Molecule: ribosomal RNA, 316 nt
Filed under: Staphylococcus aureus
Lineage: Bacteria; Bacillati; Bacillota; Bacilli; Caryophanales; Staphylococcaceae
Description: bacterial SSU rRNA
Rfam family: Bacterial small subunit ribosomal RNA
Source: RNAcentral
UUUUAUGGAGAGUUUGAUCCUGGCUCAGGAUGAACGCUGGCGGCGUGCCUAAUACAUGCAAGUCGAGCGAACGGACGAGAAGCUUGCUUCUCUGAUGUUAGCGGCGGACGGGUGAGUAACACGUGGAUAACCUACCUAUAAGACUGGGAUAACUUCGGGAAACCGGAGCUAAUACCGGAUAAUAUUUUGAACCGCAUGGUUCAAAAGUGAAAGACGGUCUUGCUGUCACUUAUAGAUGGAUCCGCGCUGCAUUAGCUAGUUGGUAAGGUAACGGCUUACCAAGGCAACGAUGCAUAGCCGACCUGAGAGGGUGAUC